RNAcentral lists this transfer RNA (70 nucleotides) under Coeligena bonapartei bonapartei. RNAcentral describes it as "tRNA-Pro". It matches the Rfam family "tRNA". From Rfam's summary of the family: Transfer RNA (tRNA) molecules are approximately 80 nucleotides in length. Their secondary structure includes four short double-helical elements and three loops (D, anti-codon, and T loops). The record is from RNAcentral. Lineage: Eukaryota; Metazoa; Chordata; Aves; Apodiformes; Trochilidae. RNAcentral also lists the same sequence under 3 other names.
CAGAAAAUAGUUUAAUGAAAAAUGCCAGCUUUGGGAGUUGGAGAUAUAGGUUUAAGUCCUUUUUUUCUGA